GGGGACAAGCAAAUCAAGCUGGUACUAGAGCUGGGGUGUCGCAGGUGUUAAAUAGGCUGACAUUUGCAUCUACUCUCUCUCAUUUGCGGAGGUUAAAUUCUCCCAUAGGACGUGAAGGGAAAUUGGCCAAACCUCGACAGUUACACAAUUCUCAUUGGGGAAUGAUGUGUCCUGCUGAAACGCCUGAAGGGCAGGCUUGUGGACUUGUGAAGAAUCUUGCUUUGAUGGUGUACAUAACAGUAGGAUCGGCUGCACAUCCUAUUUUGGAAUUUUUAGAGGAGUGGAGUACUGAGAAUUUUGAGGAAA
This 306-nucleotide unclassified non-coding RNA is filed under the name Hevea brasiliensis (rubber tree). The record is from RNAcentral. Lineage: Eukaryota; Viridiplantae; Streptophyta; Magnoliopsida; Malpighiales; Euphorbiaceae.